GGCUCAGGAUGAACGCUAGCGGGAGGCCUAACACAUGCAAGCUGAGCGGUAGAGUCUCUUCGGGGACUUGAGAGCGGCGUACGGGUGCGGAACACGUGUGCAACCUGCCUUUAUCAGGGGGAUAGCCUUUCGAAAGGAAGAUUAAUACCCCAUAAUAUAAUUGAUGGCAUCAUUGAUUAUUGAAAACUCCGGUGGAUAAAGAUGGGCACGCGCAAGAUUAGAUAGUUGGUGAGGUAACGGCUCACCAAGUCGAUGAUCUUUAGGGGGCCUGAGAGGGUGAUCCCCCACACUGGUACUGAGACACGGACCAGACUCCUACGGGAGGCAGCAGUGAGGAAUAUUGGACAAUGGGUUAGCGCCUGAUCCAGCCAUCCCGCGUGAAGGACGACGGCCCUAUGGGUUGUAAACUUCUUUUGUACAGGG
This 423-nucleotide ribosomal RNA is filed under the name Chryseobacterium taeanense. RNAcentral describes it as "bacterial SSU rRNA". It matches the Rfam family "Bacterial small subunit ribosomal RNA", at positions 21 to 445 of the family's 1533-position model. Lineage: Bacteria; Pseudomonadati; Bacteroidota; Flavobacteriia; Flavobacteriales; Weeksellaceae. The record is from RNAcentral.